This 467-nucleotide ribosomal RNA is filed under the name uncultured bacterium. Its description in RNAcentral is "partial 16S ribosomal RNA". It matches the Rfam family "Bacterial small subunit ribosomal RNA", at positions 28 to 506 of the family's 1533-position model. The record is from RNAcentral.
GACGAACGCUGGCGGCGUGCUUAACACAUGCAAGUCGAACGGAAAGGCCCUGCUUUUGUGGGGUGCUCGAGUGGCGAACGGGUGAGUAACACGUGAGUAACCUGCCCUUGACUUUGGGAUAACUUCAGGAAACUGGGGCUAAUACCGGAUAGGAGCUCCUGCUGCAUGGUGGGGGUUGGAAAGUUUCGGCGGUUGGGGAUGGACUCGCGGCUUAUCAGCUUGUUGGUGGGGUAGUGGCUUACCAAGGCUUUGACGGGUAGCCGGCCUGAGGGGGUGACCGGCCAAAUUGGGACUGAGAUACGGCCCAGACUCCUACGGGGGGCAGAAGUGGGGAAUUUUGCAAAAGGGGGGGAAGCCUGAUGCAGAAACGCCGGGGGGGGGAUGACGGCCUUCGGGUUGUAAACCGCUUUCCCCUGGGACGAAGCGUGGGUGACGGUAAUGGGUAAAGAAGCACCGGCUAACUACGU